Molecule: ribosomal RNA, 844 nt
Filed under: uncultured bacterium
Lineage: Bacteria
Description: bacterial SSU rRNA
Rfam family: Bacterial small subunit ribosomal RNA
Source: RNAcentral
GACGAACGCUGGCGGCGUGCCUAACACAUGCAAGUCGAGCGAGGAACUUCGGUUCCUAGCGGCGGACGGGUGAGUAACACGUGGGUAACCUGCCUCAAAGAGGGGGAUAGCCUCCCGAAAGGGAGAUUAAUACCGCAUAACAUUAAAUUACCGCAUGGUAGUUUAAUUAAAGGAGUAAUCCGCUUUGAGAUGGGCCCGCGGCGCAUUAGCUAGUUGGUGAGGUAACGGCUCACCGAGGCCACGAUGCGUAGCCGACCUGAGAGGGUGAUCGGCCACAUUGGAACUGAGAUACGGUCCAGACUCCUACGGGAGGCAGCAGUGGGGAAUAUUGCACAAUGGGCGAAAGCCUGAUGCAGCAACGCCGCGUGAGUGAUGAAGGCCUUCGGGUUGUAAAGCUCUGUCUUUGGGGACGAUUAUGACGGUACCCAAGGAGGAAGCCACGGCUAACUACGUGCCAGCAGCCGCGGUAAUACGUAGGUGGCAAGCGUUGUCCGGAUUUACUGGGCGUAAAGGAUGCGUAGGCGGAUAUUUAAGUCAGAUGUGAAAUACCCGAGCUUAACUUGGGUGCUGCAUUUGAAACUGGAUAUCUAGAGUGUGGGAGAGGAAAGUGGAAUUCCUAGUGUAGCGGUGAAAUGCGUAGAGAUUAGGAAGAACACCAGUGGCGAAGGCGACUUUCUGGACCAUAACUGACGCUGAGGCAUGAAAGCGUGGGGAGCAAACAGGAUUAGAUACCCUGGUAGUCCACGCCGUAAACGAUGGGUACUAGGUGUAGGGGGUAUCGACUCCCUCUGUGCCGCAGUUAACACAAUAAGUACCCCGCCUGGGGAGUACGGUCGCAAGAUUA